UCCCUGGUGGCUCAACUGGUAAAGAAUCUGUCUGCAAUGCAGGAGGCCUGGGUUCGAUCCCUGGGUUGGGAA
RNAcentral lists this transfer RNA (72 nucleotides) under Bos taurus (domestic cattle). It matches the Rfam family "tRNA". From Rfam's summary of the family: Transfer RNA (tRNA) molecules are approximately 80 nucleotides in length. Their secondary structure includes four short double-helical elements and three loops (D, anti-codon, and T loops). RNAcentral also lists the same sequence under 1 other name. Lineage: Eukaryota; Metazoa; Chordata; Mammalia; Artiodactyla; Bovidae. The record is from Rfam by way of RNAcentral.